AUUGAACGCUGGCGGCAUGCCUAACACAUGCAAGUCGAGCGGAAGAAGGGAGCUUGCUGCUGGAGUCAGCGGCGGACGGGUGAGUAACGCCUAGGAAUCUGCCUGGUAGUGGGGGAUAACGUCGGGAAACGGGCGCUAAUACCGCAUACGCCCUGAGGGAGAAAGGGGGGGAUCUUGGGACCUCACGCUAUCAGAGGAGCCUAGGCUGGUUUAGCGAGGUGGUGGGGUAAAGGCCUACCAAGGCGACGAUCCGGAACUGGUCUGAGAGGUGGAUCAGUCACACUGGACCUGAGAGCGGCCCCAGCUCCUGCGGGGAGGCAGAGUGGGGGAAUAUUGGCAAAUGGGGGAAAGCUUGAUCCACCCAUGCAGGUGGUGUGAAGAAGGCUUCCGGUUUGUAACGCCCUUUGAGUUGAGCGAAAGGGCAGUAUUUUAAACCCUUGCUGCUUGACGGUAACCAACAAAAUAGGACCGGCUAACUUCGUU
RNAcentral lists this ribosomal RNA (483 nucleotides) under uncultured bacterium. Its description in RNAcentral is "partial 16S ribosomal RNA". It matches the Rfam family "Bacterial small subunit ribosomal RNA", at positions 29 to 507 of the family's 1533-position model. The record is from RNAcentral.